AAAAAUAAAAACGCUAAUUUUAACGACGCUAACGCUUCCAGCUAAACCUUAAACCCUAAAUCUUAAAUUCUAAACCCUAUACCAUAAAUUCUAAACCCAAAUCAAAACCCCUAAACCCAAACCCUAUACCCUAAACCCUAAUCCUAGACUCUAAACCCAAAUUAUAUACCCUAAACCCAAAAACUAGACUAUAAAUCUAAACUCUAUACCCUAAACCCAAGUCCUACACCUUAAACCCAAACCGUAAACCUUAAACCCUAAUCCUAGACCCUAAACCCUAAUCCUAAACCCUAAACCCAAAUUCUAUACC
Molecule: long non-coding RNA, 310 nt
Filed under: Brassica napus (rape)
Lineage: Eukaryota; Viridiplantae; Streptophyta; Magnoliopsida; Brassicales; Brassicaceae
Description: long non-coding RNA (BNAP_LNC009407)
Source: RNAcentral